RNAcentral lists this ribosomal RNA (550 nucleotides) under uncultured bacterium. RNAcentral's name for it is "bacterial SSU rRNA". It matches the Rfam family "Bacterial small subunit ribosomal RNA", at positions 365 to 908 of the family's 1533-position model. The record is from RNAcentral.
UCCGCAAUGGGCGAAAGCCUGACGGAGCGACGCCGCGUGGAGGAUUAAGGCCUUCGGGUUGUAAACUCCUGUCACGGGUUAUGAACGGCGUAGUGUUAAUAGCGCUACGAUUGACGUAAGCCCGAGAGGAAGCACUGGCUAACUCUGUGCCAGCAGCCGCGGUAAUACAGAGAGUGCGAACGUUGUUCGGAAUUACUGGGCUUAAAGCGCACGUAGGCGGUGCCGCAAGUGUUGGGUAAAAUCCCACGGCUUACCCGUGGAACUGCCUGGCAAACUGCGGUGCUAGAGGAUGGUAGGGGAGAGCGGAACUCCUGGUGGAGCGGUGAAAUGCGUAGAUAUCAGGAGGAACACCGGUGGCGAAGGCGGCUCUCUGGUCCAUUUCUGACGCUGAGGUGCGAAAGCUAGGGGAGCAAACGGGAUUAGAUACCCCGGUAGUCCUAGCUGUAAACGAUGGGCACUAGUUUGGGGUCUCCCUGUGGGAUCCCAGGCGAAACAAAAGUGAUAAGUGCCCCGCCUGGGGAGUAUGGUCGCAAGGCUGAAACUCAAAGGA